GAUGAACGCUAGCGGCAGGCUUAAUACAUGCAAGUCGAACGGCAGCACAGUGUAGCAAUACAUGGGUGGCGAGUGGCGCACGGGUGCGUAACACGUAUGCAAUUUGCCCAUAACUGGGGGAGUAGCCCUCCGAAAGGAGGAUUAAUACCCCACUAACCCACGCGAGGUGGCAUCACUUUUCUUGGUAAAUCUCCGGAGGUUAUGGAUGAGCAUGCGUCCGAUUAGCUAGUUGG
Molecule: ribosomal RNA, 233 nt
Filed under: uncultured bacterium
Lineage: Bacteria
Description: partial 16S ribosomal RNA
Rfam family: Bacterial small subunit ribosomal RNA
Source: RNAcentral